GAUGAACGCUGGCGGCGUGCCUAAUACAUGCAAGUCGAGCGAACAGACGAGGAGCUUGCUCCUCUGACGUUAGCGGCGGACGGGUGAGUAACACGUGGAUAACCUACCUAUAAGACUGGGAUAACUUCGGGAAACCGGAGCUAAUACCGGAUAAUAUAUUGAACCGCAUGGUUCAAUAGUGAAAGACGGUUUUGCUGUCACUUAUAGAUGGAUCCGCGCCGCAUUAGCUAGUUGGUAAGGUAACGGCUUACCAAGGCAACGAUGCGUAGCCGACCUGAGAGGGUGAUCGGCCACACUGGAACUGAGACACGGUCCAGACUCCUACGGGAGGCAGCAGUAGGGAAUCUUCAGCAAUGGCCGAAAGCCUGACGGAGCAACGCCGCGUGAGUGAUGAAGGUCUUCGGAUCGUAAAACUCUGUUAUUAGGGAAGAACAAAUGUGUAAGUAACUAUGCACGUCUUGACGGUACCUAAUCAGAAAGCCACGGCUAACUACGUG
RNAcentral lists this ribosomal RNA (497 nucleotides) under uncultured bacterium. RNAcentral describes it as "partial 16S ribosomal RNA". It matches the Rfam family "Bacterial small subunit ribosomal RNA", at positions 28 to 507 of the family's 1533-position model. The record is from RNAcentral.